CAGUAGCCACGGUAACACGUAGGGUGCGAGCGUUAAUCGGAAUUACUGGGCGUAAAGCGUGCGCAGGCGGUUCGUUAAGACAGAUGUGAAAUCCCCGGGCUUAACCUGGGAACUGCAUUUGUGACUGGCGAGCUAGAGUAUGGCAGAGGGGGGUAGAAUUCCACGUGUAGCAGUGAAAUGCGUAGAGAUGUGGAGGAAUACCGAUGGCGAAGGCAGCCCCCUGGGCCAAUACUGACGCUCAUGCACGAAAGCGUGGGGAGCAAACAGGAUUAGAUACCCGCGUAGUCCCUGUCUCUUAUAC
Molecule: ribosomal RNA, 301 nt
Filed under: uncultured bacterium
Lineage: Bacteria
Description: partial 16S ribosomal RNA
Rfam family: Bacterial small subunit ribosomal RNA
Source: RNAcentral